RNAcentral lists this small RNA (96 nucleotides) under Salmonella enterica subsp. enterica serovar Derby. RNAcentral's name for it is "partial RtT sRNA". It matches the Rfam family "RtT RNA", at positions 41 to 130 of the family's 130-position model. From Rfam's summary of the family: This family represents a bacterial cis-regulatory element known as RtT RNA. The exact function of RtT is unknown although it is thought that it may be involved in changing the cellular response in relation to amino acid starvation. The record is from RNAcentral. Lineage: Bacteria; Pseudomonadati; Pseudomonadota; Gammaproteobacteria; Enterobacterales; Enterobacteriaceae.
GUUCGGUGGAAACGAGAAUAGAACGUGAAGGAUAACGUUGCGUCAGCAACGGCCCGUAGGGCGAGGCGAAGCCGAGUCAUCCUGCACGACCCACCA